This is a non-coding RNA of Erythranthe guttata (spotted monkey flower), 1142 nucleotides long. Lineage: Eukaryota; Viridiplantae; Streptophyta; Magnoliopsida; Lamiales; Phrymaceae. The record is from RefSeq and is a predicted model, not a curated record.
CUAAGGAUGUUGUGCUUUCGGUUAUUAGUGGAAUCAAUUGUGAGUUUAGUUUCUCUCUUUUCUAAUUUUUUUGGAUUCAUGUAAUAUAAAUAGAUAUUAUUUAUUCGAACCAAAGAUGAAUUUUUUUUUUUGUAGCACGUGGUUUUGCGUAUGGACAGACGAGCAACGGAAAGACGUACACGAUGAUUGGAAUAACUGAAUACGCACUACCUGACAUAUAUGGAUACAUACAGAAGCACCAAGAAAGAGAUUUUGUGUUCAAAUUCUCUGCUAUGGAGAUCUACAACAAAUCGGUGAGAGAUCUACUCAGUGUAGAUAACACUCCACUAAGACUUCUCGAUGAUACAGAGGCACCGUAGUCGAGAUGCUGACAGAGGAGAUAUUAAGGGACUGGAGUCAUGUGAUUCAUCUCUUUUGUAUAUGUGAAGGUAAGAAAUAAGAAAACUGAUAUAUUUAAUUCGUAUUUAAUAUCUUGACUCCGUUGUUUCGAUUCUUGAUAAUUUGGAACCAUUGCUCCUAAUCAAAACGACUGUUACAUUUCUUAGGGCCUCGUUUGGGAACAUUCGAUAAAGCUUGAUUAUAUUGUCUAUCAUGCCUAAUCACGAUUGCCAAACAAGGCUUAAGAGUACAAAAUCAUCAUUUUUGUUAAUCCUUGCAGCUCAAAGACAAAUUGGAGAAACGUCCCUUAAUGACAUGAGCUCGAGAUCCCACCAAAUUAUUAGAUUGGUAUAUUGUGAUUUUAUUUAAUUUAUUGAUUAUUUAUUCGAUAACUUUUGUUAAUGAACAAUGUGGUUUGUCGCAGACUAUUGAAAGCUGUUCUCGUGACUUUUUAGGAAGGGACAAUGCGGGCACUCUUACAGUUGCUGUGGUAUGGAAUUUAUCUAAUAACAAAAAAAUAAUGGUAUAGCAUUAUUUAAUGUUUUUUAAUCGGAAAGUAAUUUUAUAGACAGAAUUUUGCUCAAUUUUCAAGCAAGUCGCCUGAUAUCUACUCCAAUUUUGUAUUCCAGGCCGCAGUUCCGAAGGUAAUUCAAUGUCUUUAUCUGCUCACAGUAACAUUUAUUUGUAUCUCUUUGCAUGAGCUGGAGUGCCGACUAUUAAAUAUUGAUAUAUGUUUACCCUUUUGAAUAUGCUUACAACAAUCU